ACUUCAAAUGGUGUUUAUCUUUUCUACAUUUGUGUUCAGCCCUCUGACAACAAGGGAGGAACAUGUUGAGGGAGGAGCAACACUGUCAAAGAGCAGAACAGAAAAUGCUCACUGCAUUGCUUGCCAACAAUGAAGAAAUGAUCGAUCUUUUAAAUUAUGUCAUCAAAGAAUCACUAGAACAACCUCCUCACAGUUAGUCAAGAUGCUGCUACCAGUCUGUAACCAGGAGGAAGAGGAACAGAGAGAAGAAACUACAGAUCAAAGAGGAGACGGAGAGAUUCAGGGAGGAGCUGAGCUGUUACUGAACUAUAGAAGAGACACAAACUUCCACAUUAGAACCAUCAGCUGUGAAGAACUCACUGCAGAUAACAUCAGAUAGUUUCAUCUGCUGAUUUAAACCUUGUUGAACACAUGGAACACUGGCUGUGGAUUAUUCUUGCUGCUCUUCUCUUUGAGUGUAAAGGAGAAGACAAAGUGAUGCAGAAAUCAGGAGAUGUCAUUGCUGCUGAAGGAGACACAGUUACACUGGAUUGUAAUUUUGAGACCAGUAGAACAAGUCCCACUUUGUUCUGGUACAAACAAGAAGUGAAUGAGUUCCCAAAGUAUAUGUUAAAAACUUACUCAACAUCAGUGGAAAAAGCUCCAGAGUUCCAGAAAGACAGAUUUGAUGCUAAAAUCAACGAGACGUCAGUUCCUCUGAAGAUCCAGAAGCUUCAGCUGUCAGACUCUGCUGUGUACUACUGUGUUCUGAGGCCCACAGUGACAGGAAACAGCAAAAGUCUGUACAAAAACCUUUGGAACAAAGACAACAGAAAACUCCACAACAUCCACUAGAGGGAGACACUCUGUUACGCUGCUAUGCCA
Molecule: non-coding RNA, 864 nt
Organism: Amphiprion ocellaris (clown anemonefish)
Lineage: Eukaryota; Metazoa; Chordata; Actinopteri; Pomacentridae
Source: the annotation of a RefSeq genome assembly